This 475-nucleotide ribosomal RNA is filed under the name uncultured bacterium. Its description in RNAcentral is "bacterial SSU rRNA". It matches the Rfam family "Bacterial small subunit ribosomal RNA", at positions 335 to 798 of the family's 1533-position model. The record is from RNAcentral.
ACUCCUACGGGAGGCAGCAGUGGGGAAUAUUGGACAAUGGGGGAACCCGUAGCAUCCAGCCAUGCCGCGUGUGUGAAGAAGGCCUUAUGGUUGUAAAGCACUUUAAGCGAGGAGGAGGCUACUAGUAUUAAUACUACUGGAUAGUGGACGUUACUCGCAGAAUAAGCACCGGCUAACUCUGUGCCAGCAGCCGCGGUAAUACAGAGGGUGCGAGCGUUAAUCGGAUUUACUGGGCGUAAAGCGUGCGUAGGCGGCCAUUUAAGUCAAAUGUGAAAUCCUCGAGCUUAACUUGGGAAUUGCAUUCGAUACUGGAUGGCUAGAGUAUGGGAGAGGAUGGUAGAAUUCCAGGUGUAGCGGUGAAAUGCGUAGAGAUCUGGAGGAAUACCGAUGGCGAAGGCAGCCAUCUGGCCUAAUACUGACGCUGAGGUACGAAAGCAUGGGGAGCAAACAGGAUUAGAUACCCUGGUAGGUCAGU